AGUCCAUGAUGAUCAUCCAAAGGCUUGUUUCUCAAGAACAUUCGCAGUUGCUGCGUAAGAGCUUUAUAGCCUUUCCCCGGGUUUGAGAGCUUAUGCUGCUUUAUUCCUUCCUUGGGUGUCUGAGACU
Molecule: small nucleolar RNA, 127 nt
Organism: Papaver somniferum (opium poppy)
Lineage: Eukaryota; Viridiplantae; Streptophyta; Magnoliopsida; Ranunculales; Papaveraceae
Product: small nucleolar RNA SNORD14
Exons: 1
Source: RefSeq, a predicted model, not a curated record